GAUGAACGCUAGCGACAGGCUUAACACAUGCAAGUCGAGGGGCAGCGAGGGCGUAGCAAUACGCCUGUCGGCGACCGGCGCACUGGUGAGUAACACGUAUGCGACCUGCCCCCUACAGGGGUAUAACCCGUAGAAAUGCGGACUAAUCCCCCAUAGUCCUGGAGGCUGCAUGGCCUUCAGGGGAAAGGUCAGCCGGUAGGGGAUGGACUUAUGGCGCAUUAGCUGGUUGGCGGGGUAACGGCCCACCAAGGCGACGAUGCGUAGCCGACCUGAGAGGGUGACCGGCCACACUGGGACUGAGACACGGCCCAG
Molecule: ribosomal RNA, 312 nt
Filed under: uncultured bacterium
Lineage: Bacteria
Description: bacterial SSU rRNA
Rfam family: Bacterial small subunit ribosomal RNA
Source: RNAcentral